Molecule: ribosomal RNA, 1116 nt
Rfam family: Bacterial small subunit ribosomal RNA
GGGCCAUGCGGCUGCCUAUACAUGCAAGUCGAGCGAACAGAGAAGGAGCUUGCUCCUUUGACGUUAGCGGCGGACGGGUGAGUAACACGUGGGCAACCUACCCUAUAGUUUGGGAUAACUCCGGGAAACCGGGGCUAAUACCGAAUAAUCUAUUGUCCCUCAUGGGACAAUACUGAAAGACGGUUUCGGCUGUCGCUAUAGGAUGGGCCCGCGGCGCAUUAGCUAGUUGGUGAGGUAACGGCUCACCAAGGCGACGAUGCGUAGCCGACCUGAGAGGGUGAUCGGCCACACUGGGACUGAGACACGGCCCAGACUCCUACGGGAGGCAGCAGUAGGGAAUCUUCCACAAUGGGCGAAAGCCUGAUGGAGCAACGCCGCGUGAGUGAAGAAGGAUUUCGGUUCGUAAAACUCUGUUGUAAGGGAAGAACAAGUACAGUAGUAACUGGCUGUACCUUGACGGUACCUUAUUAGAAAGCCACGGCUAACUACGUGCCAGCAGCCGCGGUAAUACGUAGGUGGCAAGCGUUGUCCGGAAUUAUUGGGCGUAAAGCGCGCGCAGGUGGUUUCUUAAGUCUGAUGUGAAAGCCCACGGCUCAACCGUGGAGGGUCAUUGAAAACUGGGAGACUUGAGUGCAGAAGAGGAUAGUGGAAUUCCAAGUGUAGCGGUGAAAUGCGUAGAGAUGUGGAGGAACACCAGUGGCGAACGCGACUAUCUGGUCUGUAACUGACACUGAUGCGCGAAAGCGUGGGGAGCAUACAGUAUUAGAUCCCCUGCUAGUCCACGCCGUACACGAUGAGUGCUAAGUGUUAGUGGGGUUUCCGCCCCUUAGUGCUGCAGCUAACGCAUUAAGCGCUCCGCCUGGGGUAGUACGGUCGCAGACUGAAACUCAAACGAAUUGACGGGGGCCCGCACAGCGGUGGAGCAUGAUGGUUUUAUUCUAAGCAUCGCGAGAAGCUUACCAGGUCUUGACGUCCUCUUGAUCCAUUGGUAGAGAUAUGGUUUUCACUCCGGGACAACGGGUGAACAGUCGUGCUAUGAUGUCAGUCAGCUCGUGGUCAGGACAAUGUUGGGAUUAAGUUCCUGUAACGAGCGCAGACCAUUGGAGUCUUGACUGU